Molecule: RNA transcript, 2627 nt
Organism: Cucurbita moschata (crookneck pumpkin)
Lineage: Eukaryota; Viridiplantae; Streptophyta; Magnoliopsida; Cucurbitales; Cucurbitaceae
Gene name: heat shock cognate protein 80-like
Exons: 6
Source: RefSeq, a predicted model, not a curated record
UUGACUUCUACUUGCAAGCCUCCAUUUCCAUUUUCCUACAUUGUUGUUCUUCGAUCGGUUCAGUUAAUCGUCUCUUACAAUGGCGGAUACUGAAACGUUUGCAUUCCAGGCCGAGAUUAAUCAGCUCCUCAGUCUGAUUAUCAACACCUUUUACAGCAACAAGGAGAUCUUUCUUCGUGAACUUAUCAGCAAUUCUUCCGACGCUCUUGAUAAGAUCCGAUUUGAGAGCUUGACUGACAAGAGUAAGCUAGAUGCUCAGCCUGAGCUCUUUAUCCACAUCAUUCCUGAUAAGGCAAACAAUACAUUGACGAUUAUUGACAGCGGUAUUGGGAUGACCAAGGCUGAUUUGGUGAACAAUCUUGGUACCAUUGCAAGAUCUGGGACCAAGGAAUUCAUGGAAGCCAUUGCAGCUGGUGCUGAUGUGAGCAUGAUUGGACAGUUUGGAGUUGGUUUCUACUCUGCCUACCUAGUGGCUGAAAAGGUCAUUGUUACCACUAAACACAAUGAUGAUGAGCAGUACGUAUGGGAGUCCCAAGCUGGGGGUUCGUUCACAGUCACCAGGGACACAUCUGGUGAGAAUCUUGGCCGAGGUACUAAGAUUACCCUGCACCUCAAGGAAGACCAGCUUGAAUAUCUUGAGGAGCGUCGUCUCAAGGACUUGAUCAAGAAGCAUUCUGAGUUUAUUAGCUACCCAAUUUCUCUCUGGGUGGAGAAGACCACCGAGAAGGAAAUCUCUGAUGAUGAGGAUGAGGAUGAGAAGAAGGACGAGGAAGGCAAGGUUGAGGAAGUUGAUGAGGAGAAGGAGAAGGAAGAAAAGAAGAAGAAGAAGAUCAAGGAAGUUUCUCACGAGUGGUCCUUGGUGAACAAACAGAAGCCUAUCUGGAUGAGGAAGCCAGAAGAGAUUACAAAGGAAGAGUAUGCUGCUUUCUACAAGAGCCUUACCAAUGACUGGGAGGAGCACCUUGCUGUUAAGCACUUCUCCGUCGAAGGUCAAUUGGAAUUCAAGGCCAUCCUCUUUGUUCCUAAGAGGGCUCCUUUUGAUCUAUUUGACACAAAGAAGAAGCCGAAUAACAUUAAGUUGUAUGUUCGCCGUGUCUUCAUCAUGGACAACUGCGAGGAAUUGAUUCCUGAAUACCUUGGCUUCGUUAAGGGAAUUGUUGAUUCUGAGGAUCUUCCUCUUAACAUUUCUAGAGAAAUGUUGCAACAGAACAAGAUCUUGAAGGUCAUCCGCAAGAACUUGGUGAAGAAGUGCCUUGAGCUGUUCUUUGAGAUUGCUGAGAACAAAGAAGACUACAACAAGUUCUACGAGGCCUUCUCCAAGAACUUGAAGCUGGGUAUCCAUGAAGAUUCCCAGAACAGGCCUAAGAUUGCUGAACUUCUCCGUUUCCACUCGACCAAGAGUGGUGAUGAGUUGACCAGCCUGAAGGAUUAUGUGACCAGAAUGAAGGAGGGCCAGGAGGACAUCUUCUACAUCACUGGUGAAAGCAAGAAGGCUGUGGAGAACUCUCCUUUCCUCGAAAAGCUCAAGAAGAAGGGUUACGAAGUUCUGUUCAUGGUUGAUGCUAUUGACGAGUAUGCAGUUGGUCAGCUGAAGGAAUUUGAAGGCAAAAAGCUUGUAUCAGCAACCAAGGAAGGUCUGAAACUGGAUGAGAGCGAAGAUGAAAAGAAGAAGAAGGAAGCUUUGAAGGAGAAGUUUGAGGGGCUUUGCAAGGUGAUAAAGGAUGUUUUGGGCGACAGAGUUGAGAAGGUGGUUGUCUCUGACCGUGUCGUGGAUUCUCCCUGCUGUUUGGUAACUGGUGAAUAUGGAUGGACAGCCAACAUGGAAAGAAUCAUGAAGGCUCAAGCACUGAAGGACAACAGCAUGGCUGGUUACAUGUCUAGCAAGAAGACAAUGGAAAUCAACCCCGAGAACCCCAUCAUGGAAGAACUGAGGAAGAGGGCGGAUGUUGACAAGAACGACAAAUCCAUCAAGGACCUCGUUCUCCUCCUCUUCGAGACUUCCCUCCUCACCUCCGGCUUCAGCCUGGACGACCCAAACACCUUCGGAAACAGAAUCCACAGGAUGUUGAAGCUUGGAUUGAGCAUCGAUGAGGAAGCUGGAGAAGCCGAUGCUGACAUGCCUCCUCUUGAGGAUGCCGAUGCCGAUGCCGAUGCAGAGGGCAGCAAGAUGGAGGAAGUGGAUUAAUUUUGAUGUCUCUAGCGGUGAAGCCGGUAACAUCUUUUCAAGGAUUGGAAACGCAAAUUUCAAUGCCUGAGGGGAUUUCGAAUGGGUUUUGUACGAACAAGUGUCUGCUCAGAAUCAAGUGAAGGCAUCGGUACAACGGAGAAUUCGACAAAGUAUAGCAGAAGAAUAUCCAGGACUAGAACCAGUUUUGGAUGAUUUGCUUCCUAACAAAGCUCCUCUGAUUGUAACUAAGUGGUUAGAAAUCUGCUGGCCUCUAUUUAUUUGUUCUGUUUAUGUUAAUGAACAUAUGAGGCUCAUAUUGGACGUUUUUGGAAUACUCUUAUAGUCAGAGCCAUCUCAAUCUGGUUGUUGUGAACAAUGUGCCACUCUUUUUUAAUAUCCGUGACGGCCCCUACAUGCCUACCCUAAGCUUGCUUCACCAAUGUAAUGUUUUCUUUCUCUC